UACGGAAGGCAGCAGUGGGGAAUAUUGCACAAUGGGCGCAAGCCUGAUGCAGCCAUGCCGCGUGUAUGAAGAAGGCCUUCGGGUUGUAAAGUACUUUCAGUCGUGAGGAAGGUGUUAAGGUUAAUAACCUUAGCAAUUGACGUUAGCGACAGAAGAAGCACCGGCUAACUCCGUGCCAGCAGCCGCGGUAAUACGGAGGGUGCGAGCGUUAAUCGGAAUUACUGGGCGUAAAGGGCACGCAGGCGGUUAAUUAAGUUGGAUGUGAAAUCCCCGGGCUUAACCUGGGAAUGGCAUUCAAGACUGGUUAGCUAGAGUCUUGUAGAGGGGGUGAAAUUCCAUGUGUAGCGGUGAAAUGCGUAGAGAUGUGGAGGAAUACCGGUGGCGAAGGCGGCCCCUGGACAAAGACUGACGCUCAUGUGCGAAAGCGUGGGGAGCAAAACAGGGAUUAGAUACC
Molecule: ribosomal RNA, 454 nt
Filed under: uncultured bacterium
Lineage: Bacteria
Description: bacterial SSU rRNA
Rfam family: Bacterial small subunit ribosomal RNA
Source: RNAcentral